AGCUCAGUGGUAAAGUGCUUGCCUUGCAAGCAAGAGGACCAGAGUUCAGAUCCCUG
Molecule: transfer RNA, 56 nt
Filed under: Rattus norvegicus (Norway rat)
Lineage: Eukaryota; Metazoa; Chordata; Mammalia; Rodentia; Muridae
Rfam family: tRNA
About the family: Transfer RNA (tRNA) molecules are approximately 80 nucleotides in length. Their secondary structure includes four short double-helical elements and three loops (D, anti-codon, and T loops). Further hydrogen bonds mediate the characteristic L-shaped molecular structure. tRNAs have two regions of fundamental functional importance: the anti-codon, which is responsible for specific mRNA codon recognition, and the 3' end, to which the tRNAs corresponding amino acid is attached (by aminoacyl-tRNA synthetases). tRNAs cope with the degeneracy of the genetic code in two manners: having more than one tRNA (with a specific anti-codon) for a particular amino acid; and 'wobble' base-pairing, i.e. permitting non-standard base-pairing at the 3rd anti-codon position.
Source: Rfam by way of RNAcentral